AGGACCUAUACCAGCAUAUCCAUAGACCGGGCUCAUACCGUCUAAGCAAAUACAGCUAGAGCUGAUUUUAAGCUCCAGAAAAUUAUCAUCCUAUACUCAAUUGGAUUUGAGGACAUUACCUUUUCAACAUUUAUCUACAGCCAGAAGGAAGAAACUCUGGUUUGGGAAGUCCGACAGCCAUUGCACAAGCGCAAGAAAUCCAAUUUCUUCUAUCCAUAUUUCAGGGAGUGAUUAUAUAGAAUCAAACUUACUUUGGGUGCUUGGGUCCC
Non-coding RNA from Pelobates cultripes (western spadefoot toad), 269 nucleotides. The record is from the annotation of a GenBank genome assembly. Lineage: Eukaryota; Metazoa; Chordata; Amphibia; Anura; Pelobatidae.